Molecule: non-coding RNA, 513 nt
Organism: Pelobates cultripes (western spadefoot toad)
Lineage: Eukaryota; Metazoa; Chordata; Amphibia; Anura; Pelobatidae
Source: the annotation of a GenBank genome assembly
CAUGCACAGCCCUCCUAAACACUUCCUGUAAAGUGUUUAUACUUCCUUUUAUAGCACAGUCUCUUUAACUUAGAAUUCCUUAUCUCCUGCACUGUUAAUAGCUUUCCACACUUUGCAGGAGCAUCCUGUGUAUGAUUAAAGUUCACUAUACAGAGCAAGAGAUAAAACUUCUAAAGUUAGUGAACAUCAGUUUGAAAAUGUAACCUUUUUUUCAUGCCGGCUUGUGAGUGGAGGUGUGGCUAUGGCUGCAUAGACAGACAGAAAAGUUAUUUAACUCCUAAAUGGCAGAGAAUUGAGCAGUGAAACUUGUGAGGCAUUGCCGAUACUCCAAAAUGGCUUCAUUGUACAGUGCUACGGAACUUGCUGGCGCUAUAUAAAUAAUAAAAUAAUGAUAAUUAAGCUGAAGUUGUUUUGCUGACUAUAGUGUCCCUUUAAGCAAAAUUAAGGAUUCAUAAAAAGUGAGGAACUCCUCAACACUGAUGUAAAAGAUUAUGGAUUACAGAAUCUUUUUCC